RNAcentral lists this ribosomal RNA (818 nucleotides) under uncultured bacterium. Its description in RNAcentral is "bacterial SSU rRNA". It matches the Rfam family "Bacterial small subunit ribosomal RNA", at positions 495 to 1314 of the family's 1533-position model. The record is from RNAcentral.
GNCUAACUACGUGCCAGCAGCCGCGGUAAUACGUAGGGUGCGAGCGUUAAUNGGAAUUACUGGGCGUAAAGCGGGCGCAGACGGUUACUUAAGCAGGAUGUGAANUCCCCGGGCUCAACCUGGGAACUGCGUUNUGAACUGGGUGACUAGAGUGUGUCAGAGGGAGGUAGAAUUCCACGUGUAGCAGUGAAAUGCGUAGAGAUGUGGAGGAAUACCGAUGGCGAAGGCAGCCUCCUGGGAUAACACUGACGUUCAUGCCCGAAAGCGUGGGUAGCAAACAGGAUUAGAUACCCUGGUAGUCCACGCCCUAAACGAUGUCGAUUAGCUGUUGGGCAGCAUGACUGCUUAGUAGCGAAGCUAACGCGUGAAAUCGACCGCCUGGGGAGUACGGUCGCAAGAUUAAAACUCAAAGGAAUUGACGGGGACCCGCACAAGCGGUGGAUGAUGUGGAUUAAUUCGAUGCAACGCGAAGAACCUUACCUGGUCUUGACAUGUACGGAACCCUUUAGAGACGGAGGGGUGCCUUCGGGAGCCGUAACACAGGUGCUGCAUGGCUGUCGUCAGCUCGUGUCGUGAGAUGUUGGGUUAAGUCCCGCAACGAGCGCAACCCUUGUCAUUAGUUGCCAUCAUUAAGUUGGGCACUCUAAUGAGACUGCCGGUGACAAGCCGGAGGAAGGUGGGGAUGACGUCAAGUCCUCAUGGCCCUUAUGGCCAGGGCUUCACACGUCAUACAAUGGUCGGUACAGAGGGUAGCCAAGUCGCGAGGCGGAGCCAAUCUCACAAAACCGAUCGUAGUCCGGAUUGCACUCUGCAACUCG